Molecule: ribosomal RNA, 496 nt
Filed under: uncultured bacterium
Lineage: Bacteria
Description: partial 16S ribosomal RNA
Rfam family: Bacterial small subunit ribosomal RNA
Source: RNAcentral
AUUGAACGCUGGCGGAAUGCUUUACACAUGCAAGUCGAACGGUAGAGGGGGCAACCCCUCGAGAGUGGCGAACGGGUGAGUAAUAUAUCGGAACGUGCCCAGUCGUGGGGGAUAACGUAGCGAAAGUUACGCUAAUACCGCAUACGAUCUAAGGAUGAAAGCGGGGGAUCGCAAGACCUCCCGCGUUUGGAGCGGCCGAUAUCGGAUUAGGUAGUUGGUGGGGUAAAGGCUCACCAAGCCAACGAUCUGUAGCGGGUCUGGGAGGAUGACCGGCCACACUGGAACUGAGACACGGUCCAGACUCCUACGGGAGGCAGCAGUGGGGAAGUUUGGACAAUGGACGCAAGUCUGAUCCAGCCAUUCCGCGUGCAGGAUGAAGGCCCUCGGGUUGUAAACUGCUUUUGUACGGAACGAAAAGGUCUCUCUUAAUACGGGGGACUCAUGACGGUACCGUAAGAAUAAGCACCGGCUAACUACGUGCCAGCAGCCGCGGUAA